GCGAGUGUGGCGGAAUCGGCAGACGCGAUGGUCUCAAAAACCAUUGGGUGAAAGCCCGUAUCGGUUCAAGUCCGAUCACUCGCA
RNAcentral lists this transfer RNA (84 nucleotides) under Desulfitobacterium metallireducens DSM 15288. It matches the Rfam family "tRNA". From Rfam's summary of the family: Transfer RNA (tRNA) molecules are approximately 80 nucleotides in length. Their secondary structure includes four short double-helical elements and three loops (D, anti-codon, and T loops). Lineage: Bacteria; Bacillati; Bacillota; Clostridia; Eubacteriales; Desulfitobacteriaceae. The record is from Rfam by way of RNAcentral.